UAGAUUUGUGUUUAAGUUCCUUAAGAACACAGGGCUUUUUGAUAGGAUUUAGUUAACAUUUUUAUUUAUUUAUUUAUUUAGUUAGUUAGUUAGUCACUCCUUCGUCGAUGCUCCACAUCUGUGGUUUCACAAUUGUACAGUUGGUGGCGGUAAUGCAACAUUCUGGAUGCCAACCGCCAAUAAAUUGCAAGAAGAAAAGGUGAUUUUUGUUCUGUUCCUCAAUGUAAUAAUUCACGACUGAAAUGUUUGGCACAAGGAAAGAAGGUAACGUUUUACAGAUAUCCCAGAAUCCAUAGCGCCGUCAGACAGGUUUUUUUUUUUCCCCGUCAGCCGCCGACUCAGCUGUGGACGUUUUUGCUCAUCAAUUCAUCUUUUAGCAAGAAAAAUAGUGCCAGAAGUUAGGAAAUGUCUGAAGCCAGUGGCACCAGCAGUUCAUCACAUUCAAAGGGCUCACCAAAGAUCCGUUGUAAUAAAGGAGGCUAUAGUGGAAACUGGUGCAAAGCCCCUGGCUGUGAGAACCAGUCAGGCAGAGCAAGGAGCUAGGGAUCAAGAGAAGCUACUACCUUUUCCCUAAAAAUGAUGCCAAGAACAUUGCAAGGAGGAAGCUUUGGUUGAAAGCCAUACCCCGAGAGAAAUGGGAGCCUGGGCCCUGCAGUUGUAUCUGCUCAGAUCACUUUGUAGGAGGGAAAAAAGAUGAUGUACCAGGAAGUCUGGGAUAUGUCCCAACUAUUUUCAGGAAGGCAGACAAAGCCAGAGAGAAGAGAAGCCCCAAGAAAAGGGCGUCAAAGACUUCUUUGAGAACAAAUGACUUUGUCCACCCAAAAACAACCCCCAAAAAGAUGUCUGUGAAGCGUAAACUUCAAGAAUUUGACGAUAUGCUACCGGACACACCGGGACGACCCAAAAUCCUUAAAGGUAGGGAUGACAGGAGAGAUGAUUCUGCUUCAGAUUGGAAAACAAUGGAUCACGACUACAAAAAAAACAAACAAAAUCUUUACACUAUGUUCUGUUGUAUACUGAACAUUUGGAAACUCUUCUGGAGCAGGAAAGACGGCAAUUUAAGAUAGAG
Thalassophryne amazonica is the source of this 1069-nucleotide long non-coding RNA. RefSeq lists it as uncharacterized. The transcript has 3 exons. The record is from RefSeq and is a predicted model, not a curated record. NCBI's taxonomy places the organism in Eukaryota, Metazoa, Chordata, Actinopteri, Batrachoidiformes, Batrachoididae.